RNAcentral lists this ribosomal RNA (207 nucleotides) under uncultured bacterium. Its description in RNAcentral is "partial 16S ribosomal RNA". It matches the Rfam family "Bacterial small subunit ribosomal RNA", at positions 568 to 774 of the family's 1533-position model. The record is from RNAcentral.
CGUCUAGGCGGGUCGGUAAGUCGGUUGUGAAAUCCCUCGGCUCACCCGAGGAAGUGCACCCGAUACUGCCGGUCUUGAGGGCAAGAGGGGAGAGUGGAACUCCUGGUGGAGCGGUGAAAUGCGUAGAUAUCAGGAGGAACGCCGGUGGCGAAAGCGACUCUCUGGCUUGUUCCUGACGCUGAAGCGCGAAAGCUAGGGGAGCGAACG